This 68-nucleotide small RNA is filed under the name Streptosporangium subroseum. Its description in RNAcentral is "ASdes TB sRNA". It matches the Rfam family "ASdes TB sRNA". The record is from Rfam by way of RNAcentral. Lineage: Bacteria; Bacillati; Actinomycetota; Actinomycetes; Streptosporangiales; Streptosporangiaceae.
AGCGCGACCGGGUCGACCGCGCGGGUGACCGUCAGAUAAUCGCGGAUCGCGACGGCGUGUCGGCCCUC